UGUACUCCCCCUUUUGAAAAACCAGGGGGCUAAUACCGCAUAACAACUUGGACCGCAUGGUCCGAGCUUGAAAGAUGGCUUCGGCUAUCACUUUUGGAUGGUCCCGCGGCGUAUUAGCUAGAUGGUGGGGUAACGGCUCACCAUGGCAAUGAUACGUAGCCGACCUGAGAGGGUAAUCGGCCACAUUGGGACUGAGACACGGCCCAAACUCCUACGGGAGGCAGCAGUAGGGAAUCUUCCACAAUGGACGAAAGUCUGAUGGAGCAACGCCGCGUGAGUGAAGAAGGGUUUCGGCUCGUAAAACUCUGUUGUUAAAGAAGAACAUAUCUGAGAGUAACUGUUCAGGUAUUGACGGUAUUUAACCAGAAAGCCACGGCUAACUACGUGCCAGCAGCCGCGGUAAUACGUAGGUGGCAAGCGUUGUCCGGAUUUAUUGGGCGUAAAGCGAGCGCAGGCGGUUUUUUAAGUCUGAUGUGAAAGCCUUCGGCUCAACCGAAGA
This 499-nucleotide ribosomal RNA is filed under the name Lactiplantibacillus plantarum. RNAcentral's name for it is "bacterial SSU rRNA". It matches the Rfam family "Bacterial small subunit ribosomal RNA", at positions 139 to 619 of the family's 1533-position model. Lineage: Bacteria; Bacillati; Bacillota; Bacilli; Lactobacillales; Lactobacillaceae. The record is from RNAcentral.